This 67-nucleotide transfer RNA is filed under the name Exostoma tibetanum. Its description in RNAcentral is "tRNA-Gly". The record is from RNAcentral. Lineage: Eukaryota; Metazoa; Chordata; Actinopteri; Siluriformes; Sisoridae.
UCCUUCUAGUAUAAAUGUACGAGUGACUUCCAAUCACCUAGACUUGGUUAAAGCCCAAGGAAAGAUA